GACGAAACGCUGGCGGCGUGCCUAAUACAUGCAAGUUGAGCGCUGAAGGUUGGUACUUGUACCAACUGGAUGAGCAGCGAAACGGGUGAGUAACGCGUGGGGAAUCUGCCUUUGAGCGGGGGACAAACAUUUGGAAACGAAUGCUAAAUACCGCAUAAAAAACUUUAAACACAAGUUUUAAGUUUGAAAGAUGCAAUUGCAUCACUCAAAAGAUGAUCCCGCGUUGUAUUAGCUAGUUGGUGAGGUAAAAGGCUCACCAAAGGCGAUGAUACAUAGCCGACCUGAGAGGGUGAUCGGCCACAUUGGGACUGGAGACACGGG
This 321-nucleotide ribosomal RNA is filed under the name uncultured bacterium. RNAcentral describes it as "bacterial SSU rRNA". It matches the Rfam family "Bacterial small subunit ribosomal RNA", at positions 32 to 330 of the family's 1533-position model. The record is from RNAcentral.